This 350-nucleotide unclassified non-coding RNA is filed under the name Hevea brasiliensis (rubber tree). Lineage: Eukaryota; Viridiplantae; Streptophyta; Magnoliopsida; Malpighiales; Euphorbiaceae. The record is from RNAcentral.
CGUCUUGCUCGUUUAGGUUUUCUUUGCAACUGUGUACUGCCGGCAGAAUUGAAUGAAACUAAGGUUCGCCAAAUUAGAUCACAAACUAAUGUGAAAGCGGGAGAUAAGAAGAAACUAAGAAGCCGUUCAAGUAGGUUAUUAUCUACUUCCAAUGCGGUAUCUUCUCCUUCAUUGACGCCUUGUUAAUCAGGUUCUGAUAACAGAAGUAGUAGACAAAUAUUUCGCCCUCCUCAGACAUUAGUUCAUGAUACUUCUACCUCAUCGUUGAGCUUGAAGAUUUAAUGGGACCCAGUUUUUCAAGUUUCUUUAGCGUUAAUAGAAUUUUUUUUUUUUAAUAUCAAAUAUAGAUG